Molecule: small nucleolar RNA, 76 nt
Filed under: Cercocebus atys (sooty mangabey)
Lineage: Eukaryota; Metazoa; Chordata; Mammalia; Primates; Cercopithecidae
Description: Small nucleolar RNA SNORA67 (ENSCATG00000010329.1)
Rfam family: Small nucleolar RNA SNORA67
About the family: U67 belongs to the H/ACA class of snoRNAs which are thought to guide the sites of modification of uridines to pseudouridines.
Source: RNAcentral
AUCCAAGGUGAGUCCCUCUCCAAGGGGCUGACUAGUGCCCCUCUUAGGACAGUAGCCACCUACAUAGCAUACUUAG